UUAAGUUAAUAAGGGCGCACGGUGGAUGCCUUGGCACUAGAAGCCGAUGAAGGACGUGACUAACGACGAAAUGCUUUGGGGAGCUGUAAGUGAGCAAUGAUCCAGAGAUGUCCGAAUGGGGGAACCCGGCAGGUAAUGCCUGUCACUCAUUACUGUUAAGGUAAUGUAGAGGAAGACGCAGUGAACUGAAACAUCUAAGUAGCUGUAGGAAGAGAAAGCAAAAGCGAUUGCCUUAGUAGCGGCGAGCGAAACGGCAAGAGGGCAAACCGAAGAGUUUACUCUUCGGGGUUGUAGGACUGCAACGUGGACUUAAAGAUUAUAGAAGAACUACCUGGGAAGGUAGGCCAAAGAGAGUAAUAGCCUCGUAUUCGAAAUAGUCUUUAUACCUAGCAGUAUCCUGAGUACGGCGAGACACGAGAAAUCUCGUCGGAAUCUGGGAGGACCAUCUCCCAACCCUAAAUACUCUCUAGUGACCGAUAGUGAACCAGUACCGUGAGGGAAAGGUGAAAAGCACCCCGGGAGGGGAGUGAAAUAGAACCUGAAACCGUGUGCCUACAACAAGUUCGAGCCCGUUAAUGGGUGAGAGCGUGCCUUUUGUAGAAUGAACCGGCGAGUUACGAUAUGAUGCGAGGUUAAGUUGAAGAGACGGAGCCGUAGGGAAACCGAGUCUUAAUAGGGCGCAUUAGUAUCAUGUCGUAGACCCGAAACCAUGUGACCUACCCAUGAGCAGGUUGAAGGUGAGGUAAAACUCACUGGAGGACCGAACCAGGGCACGUUGAAAAGUGCUUGGAUGACUUGUGGGUAGCGGAGAAAUUCCAAACGAACUUGGAGAUAGCUGGUUCUCUCCGAAAUAGCUUUAGGGCUAGCGUCGAUGUUAAGUCUCUUGGAGGUAGAGCACUGUUUGGGUGAGGGGUCCAUCCCGGAUUACCAAUCUCAGAUAAACUCCGAAUGCCAAUGAGAUAUAAUCGGCAGUCAGACUGCGAGUGCUAAGAUCCGUAGUCGAAAGGGAAACAGCCCAGACCACCAGCUAAGGUCCCAAAAUAUAUGUUAAGUGGAAAAGGAUGUGGGGUUGCACAGACAACUAGGAUGUUAGCUUAGAAGCAGCUAUUCAUUCAAAGAGUGCGUAAUAGCUCACUAGUCGAGUGACCCUGCGCCGAAAAUGUACCGGGGCUAAAACAUAUUACCGAAGCUGUGGAUACCUUUAUAGGUAUGGUAGGAGAGCGUUCUAUGUGCGAAGAAGGUGUACCGUGAGGAGUGCUGGAGCGCAUAGAAGUGAGAAUGCCGGUAUGAGUAGCGAAAGACAGGUGAGAAUCCUGUCCACCGUAAGACUAAGGUUUCCAGGGGAAGGCUCGUCCGCCCUGGGUUAGUCGGGACCUAAGGAGAGACCGAAAGGUGUAUCCGAUGGACAACAGGUUGAUAUUCCUGUACUAGAGUAUAUAGUGAUGGAGGGACGCAGUAGGCUAACUAAACCAGACGAUUGGAAGUGUCUGGCCAAGCAGUGAGGUGUGAUAUGAGUCAAAUGCUUAUAUCUUUAACAUUGAGCUGUGAUGGGGAGCGAAGUUUAGUAGCGAAGUUAGUGAUGUCACACUGCCGAGAAAAGCUUCUAGCGUUAAUUAUACUCUACCCGUACCGCAAACCGACACAGGUAGUCGAGGCGAGUAGCCUCAGGUGAGCGAGAGAACUCUCGUUAAGGAACUCGGCAAAAUGGCCCCGUAACUUCGGGAGAAGGGGCGCUGACUGAUGGUCAGCCGCAGUGAAUAGGCCCAAGCAACUGUUUAUCAAAAACACAGCUCUCUGCUAAAUCGUAAGAUGAUGUAUAGGGGGUGACGCCUGCCCGGUGCUGGAAGGUUAAGAGGAGUGCUUAGCGUAAGCGAAGGCAUGAAUUGAAGCCCCAGUAAACGGCGGCCGUAACUAUAACGGUCCUAAGGUAGCGAAAUUCCUUGUCGGGUAAGUUCCGACCCGCACGAAAGGCGUAAUGAUUUGGGCACUGUCUCAACGAGAGACUCGGUGAAAUUUUAGUACCUGUGAAGAUGCAGGUUACCCGCGACAGGACGGAAAGACCCCAUGGAGCUUUACUGCAGUUUGAUAUUGAGUAUCUGUACCACAUGUACAGGAUAGGUAGGAGCCUAUGACCUCGGGACGCCAGUUUCGAGUGAGGCGUUGUUGGGAUACUACCCUUGUGUUAUGGCUACUCUAACCCAGAUAGGUUAUCCCUAUCGGAGACAGUGUCUGACGGGCAGUUUGACUGGGGCGGUCGCCUCCUAAAAGGUAACGGAGGCGCCCAAAGGUUCCCUCAGAAUGGUUGGAAAUCAUUCGCAGAGUGUAAAGGUAUAAGGGAGCUUGACUGCGAGAGUUACAACUCGAGCAGGGACGAAAGUCGGGCUUAGUGAUCCGGUGGUUCCGUAUGGAAGGGCCAUCGCUCAACGGAUAAAAGCUACCCUGGGGAUAACAGGCUUAUCUCCCCCAAGAGUUCACAUCGACGGGGAGGUUUGGCACCUCGAUGUCGGCUCA
RNAcentral lists this ribosomal RNA (2511 nucleotides) under human gut metagenome. Its description in RNAcentral is "bacterial LSU rRNA". It matches the Rfam family "Bacterial large subunit ribosomal RNA", at positions 3 to 2539 of the family's 2925-position model. The record is from RNAcentral.